This 253-nucleotide ribosomal RNA is filed under the name uncultured bacterium. RNAcentral describes it as "partial 16S ribosomal RNA". It matches the Rfam family "Bacterial small subunit ribosomal RNA", at positions 524 to 776 of the family's 1533-position model. The record is from RNAcentral.
UACGUAGGGUGCAAGCGUUAAUCGGAAUUACUGGGCGUAAAGCGUGCGCAGGCGGUUUUGUAAGUCUGACGUGAAAUCCCCGGGCUCAACCUGGGAAUUGCGUUGGAGACUGCAAGGCUAGAAUCUGGCAGAGGGGGGUAGAAUUCCACGUGUAGCAGUGAAAUGCGUAGAGAUGCGGAGGAACACCGAUGGCGAAGGCAGCCCCCUGGGCCAAUACUGACGCUCAGGCACGAAAGCGUGGGGAGCAAACAGG